UACUAAGAAAAGGAAUUUAACUUUUAUUUAAGCGUUU
This 37-nucleotide transfer RNA is filed under the name Kampylaster incurvatus. RNAcentral describes it as "partial tRNA-Phe". Lineage: Eukaryota; Metazoa; Echinodermata; Asteroidea; Valvatida; Asterinidae. The record is from RNAcentral.